RNAcentral lists this long non-coding RNA (7555 nucleotides) under Zea mays. Its description in RNAcentral is "long non-coding RNA (ZMAY_LNC003936)". The record is from RNAcentral. Lineage: Eukaryota; Viridiplantae; Streptophyta; Magnoliopsida; Poales; Poaceae.
GCGUACAGAAAUUGAAUCCGCAUGCAGGCGCCGGGGCGGGGAAUCUUGCGCGCCCGGAAUGCGGGUGACGUUACCUCGAUCCUUCGGCAUGGAACCCGGGCAUCAGCAUCACCUGGAUAACCAACUCUCCCUCUCUCUGCGGAAUCCCAUCCGAUGCGCUUCUCAACGGCCGAAUCGGAUCCAAUUCCAACAGACUCGCGCGGUUGUUGGGGAUUCGGUAUCCACGGCAUAUAAAGGUGAACCGUGGACUCCUUCUCGGCCAUAGCUCUCUGGUAUGAUCUCCUCCAACCCUCUGUGUGCGCGGGCGUGUUUGGCGUGCAGUGACUGGAGAGCCAGCGCGGACGCCCCGCCGUGCACCGUCCCGUUCGCGAAGCCAGCCUUAUCGGCCCUUCAGCUCUUGUAAGGCAACACACGAAUCGCCCUGUCCCCUGCUGCGCGUAGCAUCGAUCAUCCGAGUGUUGGGAGUUCUGGUUUGCCGGGGCGUCGAGCAGUGGCGAAGCUAGAGUAAACUAGGGGAGGGUAUAGAUGGCCAACCGGGCCGCACGGCACGGCACUGGCACUAGCACGGCCAGACACGGUACGACAGGGCACGGCACGGCUAGGCACGGUAGAAGAUCCGUGCCGUGCCUGUUAGUGCCAGCGUGCUGGGCCCUCGGCCCAGGCACGGCACUACCAGUACUUAACCGUGCCGUGCCGUGCCAACAGGCACGCCAGCACGCCAGUGCUAGUGCCAGCACGGGCACUACGUGUAGAAAUAUCAGCAGCAGCAUUCAAACAGCAUAAGUGAAUAACAGAUUUCAUAGUUAAUAACAGAUUCAAACAGCAUUCACAAAGAGAGUAAGAGACUAAUCAAACAACAAUUUUAUGAGCUGUAGUGCAAUGGCUGCCUCGUUAAAAACCUGUCUAGGUAAAACUCACCCUUGUGAGAAACCCUAGACAGGAAAAAAGAGUACAGCCCAGCUCAUUAAAAUGUUUUUCAAAUGUUUACAGUCCAGUCCAGUGUCCAGGUGCAUAAUAUUACAGUCCCAUUACAGAAAUGGUCACAAAGAGAGUAAGACUAAUCAAGAUAAAGAUUUUCAAAUGUUUCUUCAAGCUCUUUGUCAUCCACCAUGUGUUGCAUCCUUGCUUCAGCAUCCUCCCAAUCUUUAAUGCAUGUCAACAUCUCAACCACAUCAGACUUCAAUCUCCUCCUCCGCUCGUCGAUGAUCCUGCCAGUUAAACUAAAAGUGGAUUCUGAAGAGAUGGUAGACACAGGAACAGUUAAAAUAUCUUUAGCCAUAAUUGACAGUACUGGAUAAGUGAAUUUGUGCUGAUGCCACCAGUGCAAGAUGUUGAAAUCAUCAGUUAACUGGUUGACAGUGUCACAAUCUAAGUAAGAAAUGAGUUCAGAAGCAGUAGAAGCUGAAGAGCUUGCAGCAUGCAAUAGAGCAGUUGCAGAGGUAUCUCUAGCAAUGUUUAGAGUAGAAGCAAAAGAAUGCAUACCAACAGAAGUACCCACAUCAUCAGCAUCAUCAUAAAUUUCAUCCCAAGCAGACCGUUUCUUACCAGACAAGUUAGGAGGGACAACCCUAUUCAAUCUAACAGAUCCAUAUUUCUCUUCAUAUUUAUUAUAAACAUCAGUAAGCUUAGCUCUAGUGGUAACCUGAUAAACAGCAUAAUCUGUACUUGUCAGGUUCAUUAAUCUUCUAAGCACUCUACUAAAACCUUUCAUUUUAGCUCUAGGGUCCAAGAUGAAUGCAAAAGAGUAAAGUAAAGGGAUGUUCCUCCAAUAUUUAUUAUAUUUAUCUACCAUAGGUUGAAUGACACCUCUGAUGUGAGUGUCAUUAGCAUAGUUCUUUAGAUGUAUAGCAAUCUUAACAAGAAAAUGAAGCAUAAGUGGAGAUGUAGGAUAAUAAACACCAGACAAUGCAACUGUAGAAUCAUAAAAUAGCUCAAGAAAUUUAAGUACUUUGUCUCCAAUAACCCAAUGUUCAUCAGUUAAAAUAAAUUGAUCACCUUCAGCCCUAGGAUAGUUUGCAUGAAUGAAAGUAGUGAAAGGUAUCCUAUGAGGAAACAAAUGCUUAAGCAUCAGAUAUGUAGAGUUCCAUCUAACCUCCAUGUCUAACUGGAAUUUUCUAGGCCUAAUAUUAGUAGCAAUGCAAUAACUUUUAUAUGCAGCAAUUCUCUGAUUAGAUGAGUUUAAAAAUGAUAUUGCAGUUCUAAAUGUUUCAAUCAAGUUCUUAAGAGAAUCUAGGGCCUCUUUAACUAUCAAAUUGAUUAUAUGACAUGCACAACGCUGAUGCAAGAACAUUUCAGAAUCUGCCCCAUUAUCAAUACCAAGAUAUGGUGACAUUAUAGGUCUAAGCAACCUCAUGGCAGCAGCAUUAGAUGAUGCAUUGUCUAGGGUAAAAGCAAACACCUUAUUAGUCAAGCCAUAAUCAGCAAGCACACCAGCAACACGAUCAGCAAUGUUUUGUCCAUUGUGUGACACAUCAAUAAGCACUAAAGCAAGCACCCUUUUCUCUAGUUGCCAAUCAGGGUUUAUGUAAUGGGCAACAACACUAAGGUAGUCCUCUUUGGCAUUACCAGACCAAAUGUCAGAGGUCAAACACACACAAUUAACAUUAGAAGAAGAAAGAGUCUCAACAAGCUUAGCCUUUUUAUCAGUGAAGUAUUUAACCAUGUCUCUGGUGGUGGUUUGCCUAGAGACAGGCACAAAUUUAGGAUUAUGAGCAGUUCUAAUGUAGUGUUCAAAUGCAUCAUUUUCACCCAAACUAAUAGGAAUUUCUAGCCUAGCAAGCAAUCGAACCAAUUCAUUACGUGCAACCAUAGGACAGUACUCCCAGUUACGCAUACUACCAUCAGGAUUAAAAGAUAUCUGAGACUGAGACAUGCGGGUUUUCUCACGCCUCCUGGGACAUCUGUCUCUAUGUCGGGUCAGGUGGCCAGUGCCACCACUAGAGAGAGCAGAAUAUUGCUUAGAGCAAUGUAUACACUUAGCUGCAAACCUAACCUUCUUACCGUUCACGAAUUUGAAAAGUUUCUCGAAAUCUAACCACACUGCAGAAGUAGAAGGACGACAUCGCUUGGCACUGUGUUCGUCCCCUUCACCUUCGUUAUCUUGACCACCGACUUGUUGUUCAUCACCGACAUGGACAGGAUGCUCGCUGCUAUGGCCAAAGAGCGCUGCAGCAUCCUCCCGGAGGUCAUCCUCAUCGUCAUCUCCGGCCAACCCGCACAACCGUCGCUCAUCGUUGCAGUCGAUCUCAACAGUUUCAUCGUCGGAGACGGCCAUCGACCCACCUCGGACUCGGAGUCCCGGUUCCUCAACGGAGUAAGCCGGAGCACCAGAGCUAGGAGAGAGGAGGGGACGACCGGUCCGUCCAACCGGUUCCUCCACAGAUUUGAAUCCGGAGCACCAGAGCUAGGAGAGAGGAGAGGGAGACCAGAGCUAGGUGUCAGGGAGACUGGAGCUAGGAGACCGGAGCUAGGAGAGAGGAGAGGGAGACAGCCAGACCGGAGCUAGGAGAGAGGAGAGGGAGACAGCCAGACAGGAGCUAGGAGAGAGGAGAGGCCGAGUUCCUCAACGGAGUAAGCCAGAUCACACCGGAGUAAGCCAGAUCACACCGGAGGCCGGAGGGGGAGAGGGAGACCGGAUCUGUGUGCCAGUGCCGUGCCGGUCUGCCGGACAGUACCGGAGGGGGAGAAGAAGAUAGGAGAGGGAGACCAGAGCUAGGAGAGAGGAGAGGGAGACCGGAGCUAGGAGAGAGGAGAGUACCAUUGCCAGUGCCAGUGCCAGUGCCGCCGUACCGGACCCCGGAGUCCCGGUUCCUCAACGGAGUAAGCCGGAGCACCGGGAUCUCCGCAGAAGCGCAGAUCACACCGGAGGCCGGAGGGGGAGAAGAAGAUAGGAGAGGGAGACUGGAGCUAGAAGAGAGGAGAGUACCAAUGCCAGUGCCAGUGCCGUCGUACCGGACCCCGGAGUCCCCAGUCCCGGUUCCUCAACGGAGUAAGCCGGAGCAUCGGGAUCUCCGCAGAAGCGCAGAUCACACCGGAGGCCGGAGGGGGAGAAGAAGACAGGAGAGAGUAGAGAGGAGAGGGAGAACGGAGCACCGGGAUCUCCGCACAAGCGCAGAUCGCGCCGGUUCUAAAAUGCGCGUGUAAACUGUAAACCCUAAUAAGCCGGAGCACCAGGAUCUCCGCAGAUCACACCAGAGGAGGAGAAGAAGACAGCAGAUCCGAGCGGGGGUUAUGGAUCUGAGUUACCCGGUUCACAAAUGCGCAGAUCCGAGCGGGGGAGAGCCGGAGAGGAUCUCCGACGGCGACGAGCGACGAUCGAUCCGAGCGGAGGCGCCGAGGCGGAGAGCCGGAGAGCGCAGACCGGAGGCGGAGAUGGAGACCGGAGCGCUUAGCGGAGGCGGAGGGAACGAGGGAGAGGAGAGCUCGCCGGUCGCCGCCGAAUCGCCCGCGACUGAGAGAGAGCGAGUGAGUCAGUGAGCGAGAGCGAGUUAGGGUUUGAGCGAGAGCGAGAGUGAGUGAGGAGUGACGCCCGCGGCCGCGGCUGGGGCGGGUUAGGCCUUAGGGUUUACACGCGACUCGCUCGGGUGGGCCGUGCCGACGCCGUGCCGGCCCAGUUAGUCGUGCCGUGCCUGGGCCGACCCUACGGGCCCAAGUGGUGGCCCAGGCACGGCACUAUGUACGGGCCGUGCCCGGCACUGGCACUAAGAGGACCGUGCCGUGCCGUGCCAGUGCCGUGCUUUUUAGUGUCGUGCCCGGGCCGGCCCGUCGUGUUAGUGCCAUUUGGCCAACUAUAGGGGAGGGUGCAUAUGCCUUGAGGGUGCAUGGUAACAAUUUGUAGGUGGUGCAUAUAUGGUGAAAAUUUGGUCCAAAUCACUAGAUUUCUAAAUUUUCGUGGGUGUAUGUGCACCCCCUAAUUUUCUAUGUAGCUCCGCCCCUGGCGUCGAGGCCCAGUGUCGUGGCCAUGGCGCCGUCGUGGUUGGGGCUGGACACCGUUGUUCAGCUCAGAUUGAGGUAGGAAGACAACCGGUGACCGUUGAUGCAUAAUGGGAGGCCUAGAUCAAUUGGAUUGUACCGCUUCGGUUGGAGCAAUCCAAGCCGUUGGAUUGGCUAAGGAGGGGUGGGAUUAGAUCCGGGUUCUGACCCUUGGAUUCAGAUCGGGCGGUCCAUGUUGCGUAACGGUUCACUUAAAGACGGAUCUAAUCAGGGCCCUUGACCGCUGAUCCAACGGUCCACAUGUCAUCAUACCCCUUCGGCCAUGGCAUAGUUCAUAAAGAGCCCCUCGGCUUAUCAAAAAUAAACCCGUCGUCCACCCUUAUGCUGUUAAUAUUACGGAUUGGUCCUAAACUUUAUGAGUUAGACCCUAUGCUUCUAUAGAAUUGUGUGCGCAGUCCAGAACCCAUAGGAAAUUCUGAAUUAAAUAAGGAAAAUGGGAUUUUAGUAUAAAAAUAAAUCUUGAAACUUAUUUAAUUCAUAUUUAGCUCAUUUUAACUCUGAUUCGAUCCGUUCAAGUUUUGUUAGCUUCGUAAUAACAUUAUCUAUGCAAUGACAACAUUAGUUUUAUUAUAACACAUAAUCUUAUAAUUGGAUAUUGUUUAAUUUGUGUUUAGUGGAUUAAGUUUGCUAGUUAAAGAUAACCUAUCUACAAUUAUAAUCUGACUAAAAUAUGAUUUUUAAUCAAAUCAUAAUCCAUAUCGAAGUUGAGUUAAUUAAUUAUAGUAUGUUUUCUCAUAUGAUUUAUAAUCACCAAUUUAUAAUAUAAGUUUAAUAUUUAAUCACGUAAAUCUUCAGAAAAUCGUAUCUUAUUAACCGUAACUCCUAUUUUAGUGGUUCUCGAACCCACGAUCUCGUAGCUUCGCGUAGAUUAUUAAUACGCAGUUUGUUCUUAUGUUUGGUGUGAUGUUAAUUUUGUCUAUACCUUGUUUGUUUGUAUUGCUAUGACUAGCGCGAGGCUACGAGUCAUCUAAAGAUCAUCCUGGUACCUGAAAUCUCAAGUCUCAGGCAAGUUGUGCCCUUGAUCACUACUUUUUACCUAGUCAUGUUCUAAUUAAUCAUAAUGAUCUGCAUAGGUUAAUUUUGAUGGAACCCAAUAGGUUACCCCAGUUUGACUAUCUUUAUACCUUGAUUACCACUAAACUUUUUGGGUAGUACUUGCUAUUCCUUUAUGUGGUUUUGGGUAUGGAGAUACAUUAUUCAUGAUUAUACCUUUAUUAUCAGUUGUUAUUUACUGUUCAUGUUAAGAUCAUUAUAUUAAUUGGAACAUGGAGAACCACCCGGGAAAACAGCGCUACCACAAGGGUUUAAUGGGAUGCCCUUGGCUAACUAACUAGGAAAGCUAGUGGAAGACUACCUUACCCGAAAGGGGCAAGGGCAAUAGGGGAGUGGUCAGUGUAGGGAGGUCCUCGGGUUGAUUUUGCUGCGAUGGCGGUCAGGCGAGGGAUUCCUGCAUUGAAGCUUCCUAUAAACUGUAGCGGGUUUUCUAAAGCUAGUGGAACUUUGUAAAGGUCUCGUAGUGUUACCCUAUCUCGCCUCCUCGGUAGAGGUGUAUGGGAUUGGUCGUCUCUUGACAGAUGGGUAAUAUGACUUGUGGGUAAAGAUGCGCAACCUCUGCAGAGUGUAAAACUGGUAUACUAGCCGUGCUCACGGUCAUGAGCAGCUCGGACACUCACAUGAUUAAUUUAUGGAACUAAAUUCAAUUUAUCAUAUGCAUUGCAGGUGUUGUUAUUACUUUUGUUCUACUACUUAAUUGGGUUGGUAUUUACUUAUACUUAAUAAUUGCUAAUAAAAUUUUGACCAACUUUAAAAGCAAUGCUCAGCUUCAACCAUCCUCUUUGGUAAGCCUUACACUUCACGUGAGCUCCCACCUUUGGCGAGUUCAUGCACAUUAUUCCCCAUAACUUGUUGAGCGAUGAACGUAUGUGAGCUCACUCUUGCUGUCUCACACCCCCACAGGUCAAGAAUAGGUACCGCAGGAUGAGGCGCUUGUAGGAUGCUGUGACGAGUUCGUGAGAGGUCUAGACCGUCGUCUCCCAGUCAACUUUGGGUUGCUGGACUGUUGUCUCCUUAUGAUAUAAUUAUUUAUUUAUUUUUUACAGAAUUCCUGUUAUGUAGUAAAGAUGUGACAUUCGAUCCUGUGCCAUGAUUCAUCAUAUGUGUGAGACUUGGUCCCAGCAUACCUGGUGAUUAUGUUCACGUCCGGGUCUUGGUGCCCCGAAACCCGGGUGUGACAGCGGCGCCCCCUGACAUGCGAGUAGCGACAGUGCCACUCGAGGAGCGAGGAUCGAGCGCCCACUGAAGGAGCGAGGAUCGAGCACCCACUAAAGGCGCGAGGUGCGCACAGCGAUGAUCGCGCGUGACAUCCUCCGAUCCGGCGCAGUUUGGGUGGCCCAAGUGAUGACCUCCAUCUAUUCUCGUGUCGUCGACGAUGUCCUCCAGCGACUACCUCCUCCGAUUCGUGUUGUCUUUCAAUUAUUGUGAUUUAUGCCUACCGCAUGCACUAUUUACACUAAAAACUAUACGAUUUUAUGCUUGAACACGGAGUUCGUAUAUUAGUUUAUUG